AGUACACUAUCCCAACCAGACUAUUCACACUGUUACAGUCUAGAUACAGAAUGGUUUCAUGAUAAGGUAGUGAGACAUUUUAAGAUAUAUUCCCUGUGGAUUUGGCAUUCAUUGAUUACCCUUUUCCUUGCUCAUUCUUUACCUUGGUUACUUUGCAACUGUAGUACUCCUGCUAGAUUUACUAGUCAGGCCUUAGCAAAAUACUGUAAGCACAAGACCUCCCUUCUCCCUUAUUUGUUUAGUACCAUGAGGGACUCAUAUUCCUACCCUUUUUUUUUUGAGAUGGAGUUCGCUCUUGUUGCCCAGGCUGGAAUGCAAUGGCAUGACCUUGGCUCACUGCAACCUCUGCCUCCCCAGUUCAAGUGGUUCUCCUGCCUCAGCCUCCCGAGUAGCUGAGAUUACAGGUACUGGCUCCUGUAUCACCCAGCUCUGGAGUUGAAAGAGCUCUUCAUUCCUGAGUCUCCUGUACCACUGAGAAUAGGCUGGAGUGCAGUGGCGCAAUCUCGGCUCUCUGCAACCUUCACCUCCCGUGUUCAAGUGAUUCUCCUGCCUCAGCCUCCUGAAUACCUGAGAUUACAAGCAUGCACCACCACGCCCGUCUAAUUUUGUAUUUUCACUAGAGACGGGGUUUCUCCAUGUUGGUCAGGCUGGUCUCGAACUCCCGACCUCAGGUGAUCCGCCCGCCUCAGCCUCCCAAAGUGCUGGGAUUACAGGCAUGAGCCACCGCGUCCAGCAAGAAUAGGUGAUUUUCAAACUUGGAAACAUUCAGAAGUUAUCGCCUCAGUUUCAGAUUGAGUAGUCUCAAAGAGAUUACAGACAUCUACCACAAAUUCUCUACUUGGUGUGGUGCAAAAUCAGUAUGAUGUAAACUUUGUCUCUCAGUUUCUUCAAAGGAAAGAAGCAACUGGAACACACAUAUAACACUAACCCUUCCAGCUGCAUUAUGAGGGACCAGUACCUGUCUCAAGGCAAAAUUAUGACUUAGUUCAUCCUCACCUCUGGAGGCCAGUAAAAGUGGGUUAUAGAAGAACAAAGAGGCAUCUAGAUCUUUCACUGGGUUAUUUGGAGAGAAACAUCUCCUACCGAAGGCCAGUUUAACAAGACUGGUAGAGGAGGUUAUCUUAUCUAAUUCACAGAAAUCAACACAUUGAGUCAAGAAAAAUGAAACACAGAAACACUCUAAAUAAAAGAAGAUAAGUCUUCAGAAACCAACCCUAAUGAAA
Long non-coding RNA from Homo sapiens (human), 1223 nucleotides. Ensembl annotates it as JPX transcript, XIST activator. Its record names the gene JPX. Lineage: Eukaryota; Metazoa; Chordata; Mammalia; Primates; Hominidae. The record is from Ensembl.